GGGUUGUGAGGUUAAGCGACUAAGCGUACACGGUGGAUGCCCUGGCAGUCAGAGGCGAUGAAGGACGUGCUAAUCUGCGAUAAGCGUCGGUAAGGUGAUAUGAACCGUUAUAACCGGCGAUUUCCGAAUGGGGAAACCCAGUGUGAUUCGUCACACUAUCAUUAACUGAAUCCAUAGGUUAAUGAGGCGAACCGGGGGAACUGAAACAUCUAAGUACCCCGAGGAAAAGAAAUCAACCGAGAUUCCCCCAGUAGCGGCGAGCGAACGGGGAGGAGCCCAGAGCCUGAAUCAGUGUGUGUGUUAGUGGAAGCGUCUGGAAAGGCGCGCGAUACAGGGUGACAGCCCCGUACACAAAAAUGCACAUGCUGUGAGCUCGAUGAGUAGGGCGGGACACGUGGUAUCCUGUCUGAAUAUGGGGGGACCAUCCUCCAAGGCUAAAUACUCCUGACUGACCGAUAGUGAACCAGUACCGUGAGGGAAAGGCGAAAAGAACCCCGGCGAGGGGAGUGAAAAAGAACCUGAAACCGUGUACGUACAAGCAGUGGGAGCACAGAGCAAUCUGUGUGACUGCGUACCUUUUGUAUAAUGGGUCAGCGACUUAUAUUCUGUAGCAAGGUUAACCGAAUAGGGGAGCCGAAGGGAAACCGAGUCUUAACUGGGCGUUAAGUUGCAGGGUAUAGACCCGAAACCCGGUGAUCUAGCCAUGGGCAGGUUGAAGGUUGGGUAACACUAACUGGAGGACCGAACCGACUAAUGUUGAAAAAUUAGCGGAUGACUUGUGGCUGGGGGUGAAAGGCCAAUCAAACCGGGAGAUAGCUGGUUCUCCCCGAAAGCUAUUUAGGUAGCGCCUCGUGAAUUCAUCUCCGGGGGUAGAGCACUGUUUCGGCAAGGGGGUCAUCCCGACUUACCAACCCGAUGCAAACUGCGAAUACCGGAGAAUGUUAUCACGGGAGACACACGGCGGGUGCUAACGUCCGUCGUGAAGAGGGAAACAACCCAGACCGCCAGCUAAGGUCCCAAAGUCAUGGUUAAGUGGGAAACGAUGUGGGAAGGCCCAGACAGCCAGGAUGUUGGCUUAGAAGCAGCCAUCAUUUAAAGAAAGCGUAAUAGCUCACUGGUCGAGUCGGCCUGCGCGGAAGAUGUAACGGGGCUAAACCAUGCACCGAAGCUGCGGCAGCGACGCUUAUGCGUUGUUGGGUAGGGGAGCGUUCUGUAAGCCUGUGAAGGUGUGCUGUGAGGCAUGCUGGAGGUAUCAGAAGUGCGAAUGCUGACAUAAGUAACGAUAAAGCGGGUGAAAAGCCCGCUCGCCGGAAGACCAAGGGUUCCUGUCCAACGUUAAUCGGGGCAGGGUGAGUCGACCCCUAAGGCGAGGCCGAAAGGCGUAGUCGAUGGGAAACAGGUUAAUAUUCCUGUACUUGGUGUUACUGCGAAGGGGGGACGGAGAAGGCUAUGUUGGCCGGGCGACGGUUGUCCCGGUUUAAGCGUGUAGGCUGGUUUUCCAGGCAAAUCCGGAAAAUCAAGGCUGAGGCGUGAUGACGAGGCACUACGGUGCUGAAGCAACAAAUGCCCUGCUUCCAGGAAAAGCCUCUAAGCAUCAGGUAACAUCAAAUCGUACCCCAAACCGACACAGGUGGUCAGGUAGAGAAUACCAAGGCGCUUGAGAGAACUCGGGUGAAGGAACUAGGCAAAAUGGUGCCGUAACUUCGGGAGAAGGCACGCUGAUAUGUAGGUGAAGUCCCUCGCGGAUGGAGCUGAAAUCAGUCGAAGAUACCAGCUGGCUGCAACUGUUUAUUAAAAACACAGCACUGUGCAAACACGAAAGUGGACGUAUACGGUGUGACGCCUGCCCGGUGCCGGAAGGUUAAUUGAUGGGGUUAGCGCAAGCGAAGCUCUUGAUCGAAGCCCCGGUAAACGGCGGCCGUAACUAUAACGGUCCUAAGGUAGCGAAAUUCCUUGUCGGGUAAGUUCCGACCUGCACGAAUGGCGUAAUGAUGGCCAGGCUGUCUCCACCCGAGACUCAGUGAAAUUGAACUCGCUGUGAAGAUGCAGUGUACCCGCGGCAAGACGGAAAGACCCCGUGAACCUUUACUAUAGCUUGACACUGAACAUUGAGCCUUGAUGUGUAGGAUAGGUGGGAGGCUUUGAAGUGUGGACGCCAGUCUGCAUGGAGCCGACCUUGAAAUACCACCCUUUAAUGUUUGAUGUUCUAACGUGGACCCGUAAUCCGGGUUGCGGACAGUGUCUGGUGGGUAGUUUGACUGGGGCGGUCUCCUCCUAAAGAGUAACGGAGGAGCACGAAGGUUGGCUAAUCCUGGUCGGACAUCAGGAGGUUAGUGCAAUGGCAUAAGCCAGCUUGACUGCGAGCGUGACGGCGCGAGCAGGUGCGAAAGCAGGUCAUAGUGAUCCGGUGGUUCUGAAUGGAAGGGCCAUCGCUCAACGGAUAAAAGGUACUCCGGGGAUAACAGGCUGAUACCGCCCAAGAGUUCAUAUCGACGGCGGUGUUUGGCACCUCGAUGUCGGCUCAUCACAUCCUGGGGCUGAAGUAGGUCCCAAGGGUAUGGCUGUUCGCCAUUUAAAGUGGUACGCGAGCUGGGUUUAGAACGUCGUGAGACAGUUCGGUCCCUAUCUGCCGUGGGCGCUGGAGAAUUGAGGGGGGCUGCUCCUAGUACGAGAGGACCGGAGUGGACGCAUCACUGGUGUUCGGGUUGUCAUGCCAAUGGCACUGCCCGGUAGCUAAAUGCGGAAGAGAUAAGUGCUGAAAGCAUCUAAGCACGAAACUUGCCCCGAGAUGAGUUCUCCCUGACUCCUUGAGAGUCCUGAAGGAACGUUGAAGACGACGACGUUGAUAGGCCGGGUGUGUAAGCGCAGCGAUGCGUUGAGCUAACCGGUACUAAUGAACCGUGAGGCUUAACCUUACAACGCCGAAGGUGUUU
Molecule: ribosomal RNA, 2933 nt
Filed under: Escherichia coli
Lineage: Bacteria; Pseudomonadati; Pseudomonadota; Gammaproteobacteria; Enterobacterales; Enterobacteriaceae
Description: 23S ribosomal RNA
Rfam family: Bacterial large subunit ribosomal RNA
Source: RNAcentral